AUUGAACGCUGGCGGAGUGCUUUACACAUGCAAGUCGAACGGUAGAGGGGGCAACCCCUCGAGAGUGGCGAACGGGUGAGUCAUAUAUCGGAACGUGCCCAGUCGUGGGGGAUAACGUAGCGAAAGUUACGCUAAUACCGCAUACGAUCUAAGGAUGAAAGCGGGGGAUCGCAAGACCUCGCGCGAUUGGAGCGGCCGAUAUCAGAUUAGGUAGUUGGUGGGGUAAAGGCUCACCAAGCCAACGAUCUGUAGCUGGUCUGAGAGGACGACCAGCCACACUGGAACUGAGACACGGUCCAGACUCCUACGGGAGGCAGCAGUGGGGAAUUUUGGACAAUGGACGCAAGUCUGAUCCAGCCAUUCCGCGUGCAGGAUGAAGGCCCUCGGGUUGUAAACUGCUUUUGUACGGAACGAAAAGGUCUCUCUUAAUACGGGGGACUCAUGACGGUACCGUAAGAAUAAGCACCGGCUAACUACGUGCCAGCCGCCGCCGUAA
RNAcentral lists this ribosomal RNA (496 nucleotides) under uncultured bacterium. RNAcentral describes it as "partial 16S ribosomal RNA". It matches the Rfam family "Bacterial small subunit ribosomal RNA", at positions 30 to 523 of the family's 1533-position model. The record is from RNAcentral.